This 247-nucleotide long non-coding RNA is filed under the name Sorghum bicolor (sorghum). Its description in RNAcentral is "long non-coding RNA (SBIC_LNC006273)". Lineage: Eukaryota; Viridiplantae; Streptophyta; Magnoliopsida; Poales; Poaceae. The record is from RNAcentral.
AAGGCCCGUAGCAAUGCGGUUGUCACGGCUAGGUCCGAGGGAAUGCUAUGGUCUAGGUGGUGCAAGCAUACAAGGUGGUUAGGAUAAACACGCGAAAAACAAGGUAAAGCCCGAUGGCCAUGGCAAGGCGACUCGCAGCCAUGAGCUCCACCUAUCGAGUUGGCUUCCGACUGUUCCACAAGGGUUGCUCCUAAUCUGUAUCCCACUAGACUAGAUCACAGAGGACUCGAAGGUGCGGGUAAGAACC